CUACCCGGAUGAAUCGAGUACAUGGUCUUGUGAGCUUCUUCCAUCAGAAGAUCUCUGACUCCUCCUGUCUUAGGUAUCCAAAUCCGAUCUUGGAACACCUUCAGUCCAUGACUGUUUACACCGAACACCAACGUUUUGCCCAAACGUUCCUCCUUUCGGUCAUUCUUUUCAAAAGCUUCCUCUUGAGCUUUCUUUAUACUUUCCACAAUGGUCGAGACAACUUCAAUUCUCAACGCUCUUGGCCUUUUCCUUUCAAGAUUGACUUUCCGACUGAGAGCAUCAGCAACAACAUUAGCUUUACCGGGGUGGUAAAGUAUCUCGCAGUCGUAGUCUUUAAGUAAUUCUAGCCAGCGUCGUUGCCUCAUAUUCAAUUCUUUCUGAUUAAAGAGAUAUUGGAGACUCUUAUGAUCAGUAAAAAGUUUGCACUUCGUGCCAUAGAGGUAAUGCCUCCAUAUUUUCAGAGCGAAAACUACCGCUGCCAACUCCAAAUCAUGAGUCGGGUAAUUCUUUUCAUGCUCUUUCAGCUGUCGAGACGCAUAUGCUAUCACCUUUUCUCUUUGGGUCAAAACACAACCCAAUCCAACCCCAGACGCAUCGCUAUAAACAGCGAAGUCUUCAACUCCAUCGGGUAGAGAAAGUAUCGGUGCCUCGCAUAGCUUCUUCUUUAGCUUCUCGAAUGCUUCUUUAUGCUUAUCACUCCAAGCAUAAGUAGCUCCUUUGUGGGUCAAAGCUGUCAAUGGAGUAGCAAUCGAAGAAAAGCCUUGGAUAAACCUUCGGUAAUAUCCGGCUAAUUCCAAAAAGCUUCGGAUCUCCGUGGGACUUUUCAAUUGUUCCCAUUUCAUCACAGCUUCAAUCUUGGCCGGAUCAACCAUUAUACCUUCUUGGUUGACCAUGUGACCCAAGAAUUGGACUUCACGAAUCCAAAAAUCACAUUUGGAGAACUUAGCAUACAGCUUCUCCUUCUUCAAGACUUCUAACACUUCUUCCAAGUGUCUGCCAUGCUCCUCUUGGCUUUUCGAAUAAAUCAGAAUGUCAUCUAUGAAUACUAUCACAGAUUUAUCUAGGAACGGAUUACAAACCCUAUUCAUUAAAUCCAUGAAUGCUGUCGAAGCAUUGGUUAGUCCAAACGACAUAACCAAGAACUCGUAGUGUCCAUAUCUAGUUCUGAAUGCAGUCUUCUCGAUAUCUUGCUCUCUUACUUUCAGCUGAUGAUAUCCUGACCUUCGGUCGAUCUUUGAAAAAUAACUUGAACCUUUCAAUUGAUCAAACAGGUCAUCAAUCCUCGGCAACGGAUAUCUAUUCUUUAUUGUUGCCUUGUUCAGCUCUCAGUAAUCAAUGCACAUUCUCAUACUUCCAUCUUUCUUCUUCACAAAUGACACCGGAGCUCCCCAAGGUGAUGAACUAGGUCUAAUGAAACCCUUGUCCAAUAACUCCUGAAGUUGCAUCAUGAGCUCCUUCAUCUCCGUCGGUGCUAAUCGAUAAGGUGCUUUUGCAAUUGGCGUUGUUUCGGGCAACAAGUCAAUAUGAAAUUCCACUUGUCGAUCAGGCGGUAAUCCAGGAAGAUCUUCGGGAAAUACUUCCGGAUAAUCACACACCACUGGAAUGUUCUGCAUCACCUUCUUUUCCUUCUUAGCAUCAAUCACGAAUGCUAAAUACGAUGUACACCCCUUGGUCAAACAUUUUCUGGCUUUCAUCAAUGAAAUGAUUCCAGAAUUCACUCUGCGUUUGUCUCCAUACACCAUAAACGAAUCUUUCCCAGGCGGGUUUACUUUGACUAUUUUCUUCUUGCAUAAAAUUUCGGCGUCGUUGGCGCUAAGCCAAUCCAUUCCCAAUACGAUGUCGAAACCAUUAAGUUCGAUAGGCAAUAAUUCCUCGUGGAACUUAUUCCCAUUCAGAUCAAUUAAGAUGUUUUUCAUGCGAUAGCUAACAGGUACAAACUUGCCACUAGCAACUUCGACUAAUAAAGCAUUAUCUAGUCUAACAACAGGCAAAGCUAGCUUUCUACCAAAUUCAUGCGAUAUAAAGGAGUAGUUGGCUCCAGAAUCAAAUAAAAUUUGGGCAGGCAAUUCGUUAACGAGAAAGGUACCUGAAGCGACAUCAGCUUCAUCUUUAGCAGCUUCCAGUGUCAUCUGGAAUGCUCUCGCCUUUGGCUUUGGCGGAAUGUUGGGUCUAGCUGCCUCCUUCUUCUUCGGGCAGUCCCUCGACAUAUGACCCUCCUCACCACAACCAUAGCAAACUUUCUUUGUGAGGGUACACUCAUUGGCAUAGUGCCCUGGCUUUCCACACUUGUAGCAUGUGUUCGCCACCUCACAUCUUCCAUGAUGCUUCUUCUUACAUUUGUCGCACCAUUUCGCUUCACCUCCACCUCCCCUCGAACCAGACUUCGAGAACUUGUUUUUCUUGUUGGACCCUGAAGUUCCAUCGAACUUCCUCUUUUCUCCAACAUCUAUUCUUUCCAGACCCUUUUCCUUCUGCUGGGCCUCCACAUUCUUAGCUGCACGAACAGCCGUUUUCAGAGUGGUUGCCAUUUUGACUGUCGGACCAAAGUCAGCAGGCAGUCCGUUAGCAAACCUCUCAAUCUUGGAGAGUUCCGUCGGCACUAGGUACGGAAACAACUUCAUCUUCUCAGUAAAUGCAGUAGCAUAGUCAUCUAUGCUCAUCUUCCCUUUCUUCAAGUUUUGGAACUCAUUGUUCAGAUCAAUCAGAUCUAUCUCUGAACAAUACUGCACCCUUAGCUGUUCCAAGAACUCCUCCCAUGACAUUUUCAGGGCUUCUCCUCGUGGCAUAGUAUCUGCCAACAACUUCCACCAACUCAAGACUCCAGUCUUCAGUUGUCUAACCGCAAAGACGGUCUUCUGUUUGUUGCUACAGUCGCAACUUUCAAAUACCAUCUCCAUUUCGGAGAUCCAAUCCAUUAUCUCAACAGGCUUUGGGCUCCCAGAAAGACUUGGCGGUUUGGCGCCCAAGAAAUUCUUGUACAUACGCCCAUCCUUGUUGUUUCUCCUUUCCGGAUCGUUCCUUCGUUCCUCUUGAGUCCCAACUUGACUCACCAUGCGACUAUUGUUCCCUUCCUCCGAUUGCUCGGGAAUCAAUUCCGGUUCCUCAAUAGGUAUGAUAGGUUCAUCCCUAUUAUUAUGCAACAUUUGUCGCAUCUCCUCCCUUUGUUCGGCUAGCAUAGCCCGAAUCAUGGCUUGCACCGCAGCCAUUGUUAUUGGUUCUGGUGCUGCUGCUACAACAGGUAUUUGCUCAAUCACUGGCGGUUGAUUCCUGUUUUCAUCCGCGUUUCCAACGCCACUCCUUGUUCUCACCAUUUUUGAUCUACACACCGAAUAAGGUGAAAUUAGAUCCUCAUUCACGAUAGAUAUUCAAAUCAUCCUUAUCACUCCGAAACGUUUACAUGCUAGUUCUAAUAUCGUAGACAUACGCUUAGAAUCCUACACACAUAAGGUUUCCAGAUCCGGUCGGCAACAGACCGUAGAUCCGAACAAAUAAUAUCAUAUAUGGCAACAUAUAACAUUUAGCACAUAAAAGCAUUUUAGGCAACUUUCCUAAAAUAAACUAGUGCUCGUGUCUAAAAUCCAACAGACACACAUCUCAACAUUCCACUUAGCAUUCUAAGUUUAAGUCUAGAAAUCCUACAAAUUCCUAGUUCGCUUAAACUAAUGCUCUGAUACCAACUGUGACAUCCCCAAAAUCUCGGCCAGAAAAGACCGAUUUUCAUUUAUGCUUUUAAAUAUUUUCAGAGUAAAUCCUUUUGAUUUGAAAGAGUUGCGGAAUUUGUUCCCAAAACAAAACAUGAUAAAAUAAUAUUUAUCAAAGCAUUUCAUCAAGAGAUGCAUUUCAUUAUAUAAUCAAAACUCGGGAUGUCAUGUUCCGAUACAGACCAUAAAGCAUAAACGAUAAACAUUACAAGUCAUUCAACAAAUAUAUACAUAUACAGACUUGUAAACAAAACAACAAGAUGAUCCAUCCAUCUUACGCCCUUGUGCCACUUCCUGUAAUACAAAUAAAACUGAGUGGGUCAGGCUUGGGAGCCUGGUGAGCAUAUAGGGUUUUCAACCCACAAUAAAUAAGUUAUAUUUAAUUUCACCAACCAAUCACUAUCCCGAUUACCCAUUCCCGUUAUCCUCACUUUACGUCCCUAAAACAACUAUCUCAAGGGACCUAAUCUAGGAUUUUCAUCGGGACGGACAUCACUGCGAAGGGGUUUCCUCAACAAUAGAUAUCCUAAAGGCAACCAUGAGGGGGAUAGAGUACACCGGUGAACACAUCGUUCACAACACCUACAGGUUAUGAACCUGCUAGCGUUCCACUGGACUGUCUAGAAAGAGUCCGUGGUCGUUAUCCAUACUCCGCUGAAUAACUAGAUCAACAACAACAACAACAUCGAGGCCUCUCAUCUGUUUAUUACACACCAACUAUCUACCCAUGUUCUACCCAACAUAUUAGUAGAUAAAAAUAUAUAUUUUCAUACGUAGUUUAAAGAAAACCUGUAUAGCAUGCUUUAAUCAACACAUAUGUCACAUAACAGAUGAGGCACACACACAUAACACAUAUCUCAUAAAGAAAUAAGCAGAUCUAUAAGAUAGAAGAGAGUGAAUACUCAUUCACACAUAACACAACCAAAUAUAUACACAUAGCACGUAUUUUUAUAUAAAAUACUUCGUAUUAUUGUAUUAGAAGAAAUAACUACACACUCACUUGAUCAGAAGACGAUCCGACAGCACUACGGCUUAUAGAAGUAGUAAUCCACAGCAGAUCUGGAAGAUCUCCUCGAAAAUCGAACUUCUCGCGGGCAGAGCUUCGACUCGGGAACCGCGCUUCUCGGGAUCUUCGGGAUCUCGGGACUUGCCUCGGGGCUAGAGUAUGAUACCGGGGCUUCGGGGUAGCUUCGGCACGAAAAACGAUGCAAAAGACUAGAGAGAAGAGAAGAAAAUGAACAAGAAAUGAGGCUGCCUUCGGAUCCUUUAUAUAGAGGCUGGAACCUCGGAGUACGCGGGGCGUACAGGCGUACGCAGCGCGUACGCGUCCGAAAUCGUCAUUGCAUGCGUCAUCCGAAGUGUCGACACUAUCGGAGUUACGCGAUAGCGUAACCUCGUACGCGGGGCGUACUCCGGAUUACACCGGUGACACGGCUUCGGAUAAUGCCUCCGAUUUUGAAUUAAAUAAAAAUAUAAAAUGAUUAAUAAACUUCGGAAAUUCAUAACUUCUUCAUACGAACUCCGUUUUCGACGUUCUUUAUAUCCACGCGAAGGUGAGACCACGCUCUACGACUUUCGUUUAGACUCCGUCGGCUAAUUUUGACUUUAUUUUUAUUAAUUAUUUUUAAUAGGCCGCGACAGAAACUUUCGUUAUAAAUUCAUAACUUCUUCGUUUGACGUCCGUUCUCGCCUAACUUUUUAUCGCUUCGAUACCAACAAUGAGAUCUUCGAUUCUCAUUUAGAUUGCUUCGGCUAACAACCGCUCGAUCUCAAAUCGAGUAUAACAGGCUGUAUACCGCUAAGCCGGAACUUCGAUAAAUCAUAACUUCCUCAUACGAAGUCAGAUUUGGGCGUUCUAUAUAUAUUCGGAAACCUCGUUUCAACUACUACAACAUUAACCAAAGAUAUUAAGUUUAUUUUACACUUAAAUUUUGACGCUUAUUUUUAUUCUUAAUUAAUCAAACCACAUAAUUAAGCAAUUAAGCACAAAACACAUAAUACUCAAAUAAUACAAUCUUAUUAUUUCAAAACGGGUUACAAAGGUUAACCUAGACUAUUAUAUUGCUAAAAAUGGCAAGCCCGGAAACACAGGCGUUACAAUUCUCUCCACCUUAGAAUGAUUCCGUCCCCGGAAUCACACAUCAACAAACAAAUGCGGAUAGCGACUCAACAUGUCACUCUCCGUCUCCCAGGUGAGAUUCGGCCCAUUCGUGUGUUUCCAUCGGACAAGCACUAACCCAACCAUUUUGCGUCGCAACUUCUUAGUCUUUCGGUCAACAAUUGCCUCUGGUUCUUCAAUCAACCUUUUGUUCUCAUCAAUUCUCAAUUCAGAAAUUGGAAUUAUAUCGGGAACUUCUCCCGUGAACUUCCUCAAAUAACACACAUGAAAAGUGUUGUGAAUUCCAUUCAGUUCUUCGGGUAAUUCGAGCUUGUAAGCUUGGUUCCCAAUCCUCUGAAGAACUUUAAACGGUCCAAUAAACCUUGGACUCAACUUUCCCCUUUUACCAAAUCUUAUAAGUCCCUUCCACGGCGAGACUUUAAGCAAAACCGAAUCUCCAACCUCAAAAGUCAUCGGUCUUCGCUUCUUGUCAGCAUAGCUCUUUUGACGAUCUUGAGCUGCUAACAUUCUUUCCCUAAUUAUUUUCAACUUUUCAGCAGUUUGAUGAACCAUCUCCGGUCCCAUAAACUGCUUUUCCCCAGCCUCAAGCCAACAAGACGGCGUACGACACUUCUGUCCAUACAAAGCUUGAUAAGGUGCCAUCUUAAUGCUCGAGUGAAAACUAUUAUUAUAGGAAAAUUCUACCAACGGUAAAUGUUCAUCCCAAUUACCUAGGAAUUCCAAGGUACAUGCUCUCAGCAUAUCUUCAAGUGUUUGUAUUGUUCUUUCACUCUGACCAUCAGUCUGCGGAUGGUAAGCUGUGCUUAAACAUAACUUGGUACCCAUUUCCUCUUGUAGACUUUUCCAAAACCUUGAGGUGAAACGGCUAUCACGAUCCGAUACAAUCGUUAACGGAACACCGUGAAGCCUCACAAUUUCCUUCACGUAAGAAUUCGCAAGCUUUUCCAUAGACCAUUUCUCCCUGGCCGCUAUGAAAUGCGCACUCUUAGUGAAUCGAUCAACGACCACCCAAAUCAUGUCGUGACCAUUCUUUGUUCUGGGCAGUUUAGUGACAAAAUCCAUAGCAAUGUCUUCCCACUUACCCAUAGGCACAGGCAAAGGUUCUAAACUCCCGUACGGUUUCUGAUGUUGUGUCUUGACUCUCGCACAAGUCACACACUCGGCCACAUACUUUGCAACAUCAAGCUUCAUCGUCGGCCACCAGUAGUAGGGUUUCAGGUCCCUAUACAUUUUAGUGCUACCCGGAUGAAUCGAGUACAUGGUCUUGUGAGCUUCUUCCAUCAGAAGAUCUCUAAUUCCUCCUGACUUAGGUACCCAAAUACGAUCUUGGAAUACCUUCAGUCCAUGACCGUUAGUACCAAACACCAACGUUUUACCCAAACGUUCCUCCUUUCGGUCAUUUUUCUCAGAAGCUUCCUCUUGAGCUUUCUUUAUACUUUCCACAAUGGUCGAGACAACUUCAAUUCUCAACGCUCUUGGCCUCUUCCUUUCAAGAUUGACCUUCCGACUGAGAGCAUCAGCAACAACAUUAGCUUUACCGGGGUGGUAAAGUAUCUCGCAGUCGUAGUCUUUAAGUAAUUCUAGCCAGCGUCGUUGCCUCAUAUUCAAUUCUUUCUGAUUAAAGAGGUAUUGGAGACUCUUAUGAUCAGUGAAAAGUUUGCACUUCGUGCCAUAGAGGUAAUGCCUCCAUAUUUUCAGAGCGAAAACUACCGCUGCCAACUCCAAAUCAUGAGUCGGGUAAUUCUUUUCAUGCUCUUUCAGCUGUCGAGACGCAUAUGCUAUCACCUUUUCUCUUUGGGUCAAAACACAACCCAAUCCAACACCAGACGCAUCGCUAUAAACAGCGAAGUCUUCAACUCCAUCGGGUAGAGAAAGUAUCGGUGCCUCGCAUAGCUUCUUCUUUAACUUCUCGAAUGCUUCUUUAUGCUUCUCACUCCAAGCAUAAGUAGCUCCUUUGUGGGUCAAAGCUGUUAAUGGAGUAGCAAUCGAAGAAAAGCCUUGGAUAAACCUUCGGUAAUAUCCGGCUAAUCCUAAAAAGCUUCGAAUCUCCGUGGGACUUUUCGGUUGUUCCCACUUCGUCACAGCUUCGAUCUUCGCUGGAUCAACCAUUAUCCCUUCUUGGUUGACCACGUGACCCAAGAAUUGGACUUCACGAAUCCAAAAAUCACAUUUGGAGAACUU
RNAcentral lists this long non-coding RNA (8001 nucleotides) under Lactuca sativa (garden lettuce). RNAcentral's name for it is "long non-coding RNA (LSAT_LNC009402)". Lineage: Eukaryota; Viridiplantae; Streptophyta; Magnoliopsida; Asterales; Asteraceae. The record is from RNAcentral.